GAUGGGACCGUUCCAAUGGCCUAGUAGAUAGAGCGUCCGCCUCUGAUGCGGGAGGUAGUGGGUUCGAUCCCCGGCCGCGUCA
Non-coding RNA from Potamilus streckersoni, 82 nucleotides. NCBI's taxonomy places the organism in Eukaryota, Metazoa, Mollusca, Bivalvia, Unionida, Unionidae. The record is from the annotation of a GenBank genome assembly.